Molecule: long non-coding RNA, 1017 nt
Organism: Frieseomelitta varia
Lineage: Eukaryota; Metazoa; Arthropoda; Insecta; Hymenoptera; Apidae
Exons: 2
Source: RefSeq, a predicted model, not a curated record
UGGAAAUUAUUCUAUACAAAAUGAGACGUAUAUAUUUAAGUUUGCCUCAUUUAAUAUACCUCUAGAUGGGCACUGUUAGUUGCACGAAGAGGAUAACUGCCACAGGUUAAUAGAGUACCUGACGCGAGUGCAACUUUUUUCAAAAGAUCGAAAACUUGGAAACGGAUAUACUACAAUUCGGAAAAAAUAUUUCGAAUCCGACGAUCGAGGAUUCACAGCGUUCUCGUGAGGCGUUCGAUCCCAUCUCUAGUUAUGGAUGUUUAUAAAUAAAUUGACGCUGAACUUGGAGACGGAUCGCGAUGAGCUCGAGUCGCUGCCGGUGUUGGGGUGGGUCAGGGUGCGUGAUCGAUCGACUGACGCGGCGCGGUUUCAUGGUGGAAGGAAUCGUUGUAACGAACGGUGUGUACAUGGGUGUGAGUGGUGUUCAGAGUGGUGAACGAGAGACAGAGGGAGCGUGAAACAGAGAUACGUUAGGUUGGUUCUAGAAGGCGUGCAAAGGGGACAAAAUGUGAUAGCUGAGGUGAUAGAUCGCCAAGGUGGCUAAUUAAUCGUUGGUGCACCUUUGCACUCUACUGGCAGUGUUAAUUGUGAAGGACGACUGUCCCGAAGACUUCUUUGAAGACGUCCAUCUUGAUUGUUAAGAAUAUACAUAUAGAAAGUUAUAAAGUUUUCGAAAUUGUGUCUUUGUUACGAAGAAUGUUUUAUUACAAUAUUUAUAUGCGCCGGAGUUUACUGAUAAGAUUUGCAACAAAUUAGAUGGGAGAUUUAAGAGUCUGAAUUUUUUUUUCUUUUUGUAUGCAGUGACGAAAAAGAAUAUUAAGUGUUCUCGGUUUCUUUCUUUUUUUUUUUUUAAACCUAGACUGAUGGAAACUACGUGAUCGCUCCGAGCGUUCAAACAGAUCGUAUUUUAAUGAAUUGUAAAACAUAUUCACACCUGUCGAAGUUAAACUGUGAAAAGACGUAAGUAUGAAGUCACAUUCUUAACAACGUGAAACCAAAGAUACUUCUUUCUCCGUG